AAGACGAUGACGUUGAUAGGCCGGGUGUGUAAGCGCAGUGAUGCGUUGAGCUAACCGGUACUAAUGAACCGUGAGGCUUAACCUU
This 85-nucleotide ribosomal RNA is filed under the name Klebsiella pneumoniae. Its description in RNAcentral is "partial 23S ribosomal RNA". It matches the Rfam family "Bacterial large subunit ribosomal RNA", at positions 2841 to 2925 of the family's 2925-position model. Lineage: Bacteria; Pseudomonadati; Pseudomonadota; Gammaproteobacteria; Enterobacterales; Enterobacteriaceae. The record is from RNAcentral.